Molecule: ribosomal RNA, 393 nt
Filed under: uncultured bacterium
Lineage: Bacteria
Description: partial 16S ribosomal RNA
Rfam family: Bacterial small subunit ribosomal RNA
Source: RNAcentral
AUACGGAGGAUCCGAGCGUUAUCCGGAUUCACUGGGUUUAAAGGGAGCGUAGGUGGAUUGUUAAGUCAGUUGUGAAAGUUUGCGGCUCAACCGUAAAAUUGCAGUUGAAACUGGCAGUCUUGAGUACAGUAGAGGUGGGCGGAAUUCGUGGUGUAGCGGUGGAAUGCUUAGAUAUCACGAAGAACACCGAUUGCGAAGGCAGCUCACUAGACUGUUACUGACACUAAUGCUCGAAAGUGUGGGUAUCAAACAGGAUUAGAUACCCUGGUAGUCCACACAGUAAACGAUGAAUACUCGGUGUUUGCGAUAUACAGUAAGCGGGCAAGCGAAAGCAUUAAGUAUUCCACCUGGGGAGUACGCCGGCAACGGUGAAACUCAAAUGAAUUGGCGGGG